Molecule: small RNA, 335 nt
Filed under: Pongo abelii (Sumatran orangutan)
Lineage: Eukaryota; Metazoa; Chordata; Mammalia; Primates; Hominidae
Description: processed transcript
Source: RNAcentral
GAACCAAAUGCGAUUCCCCGGCUGCCCUGCGGGAGUUAGAGUCGCCUAGUUCUUCACCCCUUCCGGAGGCGUGUCUGCUCAAUCAAAUCAAAUACUGAACAACUUCCUGGCGGAGAGGCUGAGAAUUUUAUACUUGCUUGCUCUAAAGCACCCCAAAUAAGAUGAUCCACUCCAACACCUCCCCUUUACAGCAAAAGGCUGAAGCUCAAAUACAUUAACUACCCUUCCCAAGGUCAGAUAGCCAGCUGGUAACAGGGCCCAUGAGGAACUGAAUUCUACAUCUAACUGAUUGAAAAGCUAUGUUCUUUGGCAUUUGAUUAUACUACUUUAAUCAU